This 786-nucleotide ribosomal RNA is filed under the name uncultured Pseudomonadota bacterium. RNAcentral's name for it is "bacterial SSU rRNA". It matches the Rfam family "Bacterial small subunit ribosomal RNA", at positions 57 to 827 of the family's 1533-position model. Lineage: Bacteria; Pseudomonadati; Pseudomonadota. The record is from RNAcentral.
GCAGUCGAACGUGAAAUCCGCCUUCGGGCGGAGAGUAAAGUGGCGCACGGGCUGAGUAACGCGUGGAUAAUCUACCCCGAGGCCCGGGAUAACUCGCCGAAAGGCGGGCUAAUACCGGAUAAUGUCCCACUGCAUAAGUAGUGUGACCAUAGGAGGCUUACGCUUCCGCCACGGGAUGAGUCCGCGUACCAUUAGCUAGUUGGUAGGGUAAUGGCCUACCAAGGCUACGAUGGUUAGCUGGUCUGAGAGGACGAUCAGCCACACUGGAACUGAGACACGGUCCAGACUCCUACGGGAGGCAGCAGUGGGGAAUAUUGCGCAAUGGGGGCAACCCUGACGCAGCGACGCCGCGUGAGCGAUGAAGGCCUUCGGGUCGUAAAGCUCUGUCAGGUGGGAAGAACCCUCCGUCGAUUAAUAAUUGGCGGAGCUGACGGUACCACCAGAGGAAGCACCGGCUGACUCCGUGCCAGCAGCCGCGGUAACACGGAGGGUGCAAGCGUUGUUCGGAAUCACUGGGCGUAAAGGACGCGCAGGCGGCCCGGUAAGUCAGAAGUGAAAUCCGUCGGCUCAACCGACGAACGGCUUCUGAUACUGCCGGAUUUGAGUACGGGAGAGGAAAGCGGAAUUCCCAGUGUAGAGGUGAAAUUCGUAGAUAUUGGGAAGAACACCGGUGGCGAAGGCGGCUUUCUGGACCGAUACUGACGCUGAGGCGUGAAAGCGUGGGGAGCAAACAGGAUUAGAUACCCUGGUAGUCCACGCUGUAAACGGUGAGUACUAGGUGUAGGG